Non-coding RNA from Aromia moschata, 86 nucleotides. The record is from the annotation of a GenBank genome assembly. NCBI's taxonomy places the organism in Eukaryota, Metazoa, Arthropoda, Insecta, Coleoptera, Cerambycidae.
GCCGCGGCGAUAGCUCAGUGGGUAAACCGACAGUUGAGAAGAUGGCGAUUACUCCGAGAGCGCGGGUUCGAAUCCCGCCUGUGGUA